This is a long non-coding RNA of Brassica napus (rape), 1759 nucleotides long. RefSeq lists it as uncharacterized. The transcript has 7 exons. NCBI's taxonomy places the organism in Eukaryota, Viridiplantae, Streptophyta, Magnoliopsida, Brassicales, Brassicaceae. The record is from RefSeq and is a predicted model, not a curated record.
UUUUUGGGCUCAGGAAACUGGCUGUUCUUAUGUAUUGAUGUGGAGAAAGCCUAAUAGAUUGAAUCCUAAAUGUGAUUUACGCGCAUAAUGGAUUUCAGGGUUCGUCUCUCUACGGUUCCGACUUCUGAUCUUCAUCUGUAUCAUUGAAACGGUUCCAGUUAUCUCUUCUUCGUGUUUAACCCCUUAUUAAUUCGAACAAUCCCGAUCUAGCUAUGAAUGCGAUCUUUCUUCGGCGAGUCGGUCUAUCUAAGAUUAUAAAAAGAGCUUUUGUUUAUGGGAGAUGAUAGUGGGAGUGGAAAUCACUAUUUUUGUAAAGUUCAGGUAAGGUAGAUCUCUGAAUUAUUUGUCGUUUUUCCAAAUCUAAGACACAAAAAGACAUUAGAUAUCUGUGUAAGGUACUGCACCCUCCUAUAACCCUCGAUGACAAACUCAGAAGAAUCUUGGGAGAAAGUAUUCACGGGUUAGUGAUAACAACCGCUCCAUCGAUGAGACAGGUUGCUUCGGCUCUUUCACAUGCUGGUUUGGAGUCCUCGAAUCUGAUUGUUGGUAUUGAUGUCACCAAGAGCAACGAUUGGACAGGUUAGACAAGUUAUGAUCUUUAUGUAUAGAAACUGUUUUAGUCUAGAUUUUAAGUGAAUGCUGCUCUGAUCCAAAAGCUAACUGGUGAUUUGAUUUGGAAUAAUCCCAAACCCUCAUUAGCAAGCUAUUUCUAUCAUUGGAAAGAAGAUUUCAUCGGUUUUUGAUCGGGAUAACUUGAUCUACGUUAUGGAUUCAGAGAUGGUAAUAACUUCAAAAGUUAUAUUUUAUCAUUUAACUGCUAAGUUUGUUGUUUGGUCUGUGAUUACAGAUUUCAGAUUGGUUUCUUUGGUUAUUACGUCUGUCUCGAAUGAUAAUCAUUGCAUCAAUAGUCCUGGUGGUUAUGGGUCGUUACAGUGGAUUCAUAGCAAUGUAUGCUACAUAAGCUAGCAGAGAUGUCGAUUGCUGCCUUACCCCUUAGUCAGCCUUUUAUCUCUAAGGGAAGGUGGACUCUUGGAGUUCUUUGAGGGAAACAGAUCAAGAAGCAGGGCAACAAUUGAUGUGCAAAAGCAUGGAAUUUAACAAUGAUGCCUCUGAUAAAAAGCUUAUUAUAGAUCUCGGCUUCUGGCUACCACAAAGCAUCAAGGAUCAUUUAAAUAAGAUUAACAUAGUGACGAAUCUCAAUACAUAGAUUCUACAUACAUGAUUCGGGGUGUUCAAGCAAUGCAUCAGACAGUUUUUAUUGUACACUUCUUGCUCAGAGCGUUGUUCAUGGUGAAAUGUCCAGCGGUCUUAUUAAUGGAAGACCAACAUACAUUCCUUACAACAGGAUAACAGAGAAACAGAACAGUGUGGCGAUUACAGAUAGAAUGUGGACAAGGCUAAUGUCUUCAACGAAUCAGUCCAGUUUCUUAGACCCUAAGGAUAUAACCGAGGAGAAGAAUGAGGUGCCGGAAAAGCCACACAUCUUGACGGUGAAAACAGUGACGGACUUUUCGAUAUUCUUCGAGCUACUAAAGAGAUCACUAAGUAAUGGUACAAAAACAUUGUUUAUAGACCUUCCAAACCAAAACAUAUAUUGUAUGCUUUUUCCUUGAACGAUAAGUUUUGGCAAAAAUGAAAUAAUUGUAUGUUCUAGAGAUUUCGCAUAUUUGUUGGCAUAUAUGCAAUGUUUUAUUAGCUUGUUGUACAUGUUUAGUUUUGUAACCACUAACCCUUUGAAUCUACACCACAUCAUAUGAUA